GAGCCNNAANNNGNUUUNNNNCCCCCNNNGGCUCAGAUGAAACGCUGGCGGCAUGCUUUACACAUGCAAGUCGAACGGCAGCGCGGGCUUCGGCCUGGCGGCGAGUGGCGAACGGGUGAGUAAUAUAUCGGAACGUACCCAAGAGUGGGGGAUAACGUAGCGAAAGUUACGCUAAUACCGCAUACGAUCUAAGGAUGAAAGCAGGGGACCGCAAGGCCUUGUGCUCCUGGAGCGGCCGAUAUCUGAUUAGCUAGUUGGUGAGGUAAAGGCUCACCAAGGCAACGAUCAGUAGCUGGUCUGAGAGGACGACCAGCCACACUGGAACUGAGACACGGUCCAGACUCCUACGGGAGGCAGCAGUGGGGAAUUUUGGACAAUGGGGGCAACCCUGAUCCAGCAAUGCCGCGUGAGUGAAGAAGGCCUUCGGGUUGUAAAGCUCUUUUGUCAGGGAAGAAAAGGCNGUGGCUAAUAUCCANAGCUGCUGACGGUACCUGAAGAAUAAGCACCGGCUAACUACGUGCCAGCAGCCGCGGUAAUACGUAGGGUGCAAGCGUUAAUCGGAAUUACUGGGCGUAAAGCGUGCGCAGGCGGUUUCGUAAGNCUGUCGUGAAAUCCCCGGGCUUAACCUGGGAAUGGCGAUGGNGACUGCGAGGCUAGAGUUUGGCAGAGGGGGGUAGAAUUCCACGUGUAGCAGUGAAAUGCGUAGAGAUGUGGCAGGAACCCNCGAUGGCGAAGGCAGCCCCCUGGGUCAAAACUGACGCUCAUGCACGAAAGCGUGGGGAGCAAACAGGAUUAGAUACCCUGGUAGUCCACGCCCUAAACGAUGUCUACUAGUUGUUGGGUCUUAAUUGACUUAGUAACGCAGCUAACGCGUGAAGUAGACCGCCUGGGGAGUAUCGGUUCGCAAGAUUAAAACUCAAAGGAAUUGACGGGGACCCGCACAAGCGGUGGAUGAUGUGGAUUAAUUCGAUGCAACGCGAAAAACCUUACCUACCCUUGACAUGGCAGGAANCNNGGAGAGAUCUGNGNGUGCUCGAAAGAGAACCUGCACACAGGUGCUGCAUGGCUGUCGUCAGCUCGUGUCGUGAGAUGUUGGGUUAAGUCCCGCAACGAGCGCAACCCUUGUCAUUAGUUGCUACGCAAGAGCACUCUAAUGAGACUGCCGGUGACAAACCGGAGGAAGGUGGGGAUGACGUCAAGUCCUCAUGGCCCUUAUGGGUAGGGCUUCACACGUCAUACAAUGGUACAUACAGAGGGCCGCCAACCCGCGAGGGGGAGCUAAUCCCAGAAAGUGUAUCGUAGUCCGGAUUGUAGUCUGCAACUCGACUACAUGAAGUUGGAAUCGCUAGUAAUCGCGGAUCAGCAUGUCGCGGUGAAUACGUUCCCGGGUCUUGUACACACCGCCCGUCACACCAUGGGAGCGGGUUUUACCAGAAGUAGGUAGCUUAACCGCAAGGAGGGCGCUUACCACGGUAGGAUUCGUGACUGGGGUGAANCNACANAANNNGNUAACCA
RNAcentral lists this ribosomal RNA (1515 nucleotides) under Pseudoduganella violaceinigra. RNAcentral describes it as "bacterial SSU rRNA". It matches the Rfam family "Bacterial small subunit ribosomal RNA". Lineage: Bacteria; Pseudomonadati; Pseudomonadota; Betaproteobacteria; Burkholderiales; Oxalobacteraceae. The record is from RNAcentral.